UAUCAACAUCAGGAGUGGUUUCAUAGUUGAAACCCACCAACCGAGCCUAGAUAAAUCAGGGAUCCGGUGGUUAGACCUCUAAAUGGUAGAUGUGCCCAGGAAAAUGGGAAACAUAAUAAGCCACCU
This 126-nucleotide non-coding RNA is filed under the name unclassified sequences. RNAcentral describes it as "SAM-I-IV sequence". It matches the Rfam family "SAM-I/IV (S-adenosyl methionine) riboswitch aptamer". Rfam says of the family: It is found upstream of a number of genes which code for proteins involved in methionine or cysteine biosynthesis. It has been found mostly in the order Actinomycetales. The record is from Rfam by way of RNAcentral.